CAGUAGCCGCGGGAAUACGAAGGGGGCUAGCGUUGCUCGGAAUGACUGGGCGUAAAGGGCGCGUAGGCGGAUUGUGCAGUCAGACGUGAAAUUCCUGGGCUCAACCUGGGGACUGCGUUUGAGACGUGCGAUCUAGAGUUUGGAAGAGGGUCGUGGAAUUCCCAGUGUAGAGGUGAAAUUCGUAGAUAUUGGGAAGAACACCGGUGGCGAAGGCGGCGACCUGGUCCUUGACUGACGCUGAGGCGCGAAAGCGUGGGGAGCAAACAGGAUUAGAUACCCGGGUAGUCCCUGUCUCUUAUAA
RNAcentral lists this ribosomal RNA (301 nucleotides) under uncultured bacterium. RNAcentral describes it as "partial 16S ribosomal RNA". It matches the Rfam family "Bacterial small subunit ribosomal RNA", at positions 509 to 809 of the family's 1533-position model. The record is from RNAcentral.